RNAcentral lists this ribosomal RNA (495 nucleotides) under uncultured bacterium. RNAcentral describes it as "bacterial SSU rRNA". It matches the Rfam family "Bacterial small subunit ribosomal RNA", at positions 791 to 1285 of the family's 1533-position model. The record is from RNAcentral.
UAGUCCACGCCGUAAACGAUGUGUGCUAGAUGUCGGGUCCAUAGGAUUCGGUGUCGCAGCUAACGCACUAAGCACACCGCCUGGGGAGUACGGUCGCAAGAUUAAAACUCAAAGGAAUUGACGGGGACCCGCACAAGCGGUGGAGCAUGUUCUUUAAUUCGACGCAACGCGAAGAACCUUACCUACACUUGACAUACUCGUCGGGGAUUUCAGAGAUGAUUUCCUUCGGUUCGGCCGGACGAUGUACAGGUGCUGCACGGCUGUCGUCAGCUCGUGUCGUGAGAUGUUUGGUUAAGUCCAGCAACGAGCGCAACCCCUAUCGUAUGUUACCAGCAUUUAGUUGGGGACUCAUGCGAGACUGCCGGUGUUAAGCCGAAGGAAGGUGGGGACGACGUCAAGUCAUCAUGGCCCUUACGUCCUGGGCUACACACGUGCUACAAUGGUUGGUACAAUGAGUCGCUACAUGGCAACAUGAUGCUAAUCUCAAAAAGCCAA